Molecule: ribosomal RNA, 792 nt
Filed under: Lactiplantibacillus plantarum
Lineage: Bacteria; Bacillati; Bacillota; Bacilli; Lactobacillales; Lactobacillaceae
Description: bacterial SSU rRNA
Rfam family: Bacterial small subunit ribosomal RNA
Source: RNAcentral
CAGGGAACUCCAUGGUAGCGGUGAAAUGCGUAGAUAUAUGGAAGAACACCAGUGGCGAAGGCGGCUGUCUGGUCUGUAACUGACGCUGAGGCUCGAAAGUAUGGGUAGCAAACAGGAUUAGAUACCUGGUAGUCCAUACCGUAAACGAUGAAUGCUAAGUGUUGGAGGGUUUCCGCCCUUCAGUGCUGCAGCUAACGCAUUAAGCAUUCCGCCUGGGGAGUACGGCCGCAAGGCUGAAACUCAAAGGAAUUGACGGGGGCCCGCACAAGCGGUGGAGCAUGUGGUUUAAUUCGAAGCUACGCGAAGAACCUUACCAGGUCUUGACAUACUAUGCAAAUCUAAGAGAUUAGACGUUCCCUUCGGGGACAUGGAUACAGGUGGUGCAUGGUUGUCGUCAGCUCGUGUCGUGAGAUGUUGGGUUAAGUCCCGCAACGAGCGCAACCCUUAUUAUCAGUUGCCAGCAUUAAGUUGGGCACUCUGGUGAGACUGCCGGUGACAAACCGGAGGAAGGUGGGGAUGACGUCAAAUCAUCAUGCCCCUUAUGACCUGGGCUACACACGUGCUACAAUGGAUGGUACAACGAGUUGCGAACUCGCGAGAGUAAGCUAAUCUCUUAAAGCCAUUCUCAGUUCGGAUUGUAGGCUGCAACUCGCCUACAUGAAGUCGGAAUCGCUAGUAAUCGCGGAUCAGCAUGCCGCGGUGAAUACGUUCCCGGGCCUUGUACACACCGCCCGUCACACCAUGAGAGUUUGUAACAGAGAAAGUCGGUGGGGUAACCUUUAGAACCAGAAU